GGGGAUGUAGCUCAGUUGGGAGAGCGCUUGUCUGGCAGACAAGAGGUCAGGGGUUCGACUCCCCUCAUCUCCACCA
Molecule: transfer RNA, 76 nt
Filed under: Candidatus Hydrogenedentota bacterium
Lineage: Bacteria; Pseudomonadati; Candidatus Hydrogenedentota
Description: tRNA-Ala
Rfam family: tRNA
About the family: Transfer RNA (tRNA) molecules are approximately 80 nucleotides in length. Their secondary structure includes four short double-helical elements and three loops (D, anti-codon, and T loops).
Source: RNAcentral